CCUACGGGAGGCAGCAGUGAGGAAUAUUGGUCAAUGGACGCGAGUCUGAACCAGCCAAGUAGCGUGAAGGAUGACUGCCCUAUGGGUUGUAAACUUCUUUUAUAUGGGAAUAAAACGUUCCACGUGUGGGAUUUUGUAUGUACCAUAUGAAUAAGGAUCGGCUAACUCCGUGCCAGCAGCCGCGGUAAUACGGAGGAUCCGAGCGUUAUCCGGAUUUAUUGGGUUUAAAGGGAGCGUAGGUGGAUUGUUAAGUCAGUUGUGAAAGUUUGCGGCUCAACCGUAAAAUUGCAAGUGAAACUGGCAGUCUUGAGUACAGUAGAGGGGUGCGGAAUUCGUGGUGUAGCGGUGAAAUGCUUAGAUAUCACGAAGAACUCCGAUUGCGAAGGCAGUUCACUGGACUGCAACUGACACUGAGGCUCGAAAGUGUGGGUAUCAAACAGGAUUAGAUACCCCAGUAGUC
RNAcentral lists this ribosomal RNA (460 nucleotides) under uncultured bacterium. RNAcentral describes it as "partial 16S ribosomal RNA". It matches the Rfam family "Bacterial small subunit ribosomal RNA", at positions 338 to 795 of the family's 1533-position model. The record is from RNAcentral.